GAUGAACGCUAGCGGCAGGCCUAACACAUGCAAGUCGAGGGAGGAGCCUUCGGGCUUCGACCGGCGUACGGGUGCGUAACGCGUAUACAAUCUGCCUCUCACAUAGGGAUAGCCCGAAGAAAUUUGGAUUAAUACCUAAUGGUAUAUAGAUGUGGCAUCACCUUUAUAUUAAAGCUGAGGCGGUGAAAGAUGAGUAUGCGUUCUAUUAGCUAGUUGGAGAGGUAACGGCUCCCCAAGGCGACGAUAGAUAGGGGUUCUGAGAGGGAUAUCCCCCACACUGGUACUGAGAUACGGACCAGACUCCUACGGGAGGCGGCAGUGAGGAAUAUUGGACAAUGGUCGGAAGACUGAUCCAGCCAUGCCGCGUGCAGGAAGACGGCCUUAUGGGUUGUAAACUGCUUUUGCAGGGGAAGAAUAAGGACUACGCGUAGUUUGAUGACGGUACUCUGCGAAUAAGCAUCGGCUAACUCCGUG
RNAcentral lists this ribosomal RNA (474 nucleotides) under uncultured bacterium. RNAcentral's name for it is "partial 16S ribosomal RNA". It matches the Rfam family "Bacterial small subunit ribosomal RNA", at positions 28 to 507 of the family's 1533-position model. The record is from RNAcentral.